GCAUUUUGAUUCUGGCUCAGGUUGAACGCUGGCGGCAGGCCUAACACAUGCAAGUCGGACGGUAGCACAGAGGAGCUUGCUCCUUGGGUGACGAGUGGCGGACGGGUGAGUAAUGUCUGGGGAUCUGCCCGAUAGAGGGGGAUAACCACUGGAAACGGUGGCUAAUACCGCAUAACGUCGCAAGACCAAAGAGGGGGACCUUCGGGCCUCUCACUAUCGGAUGAACCCAGAUGGGAUUAGCUAGUAGGCGGGGUAAUGGCCCACCUAGGCGACGAUCCCUAGCUGGUCUGAGAGGAUGACCAGCCACACUGGAACUGAGACACGGUCCAGACUCCUACGGGAGGCAGCAGUGGGGAAUAUUGCACAAUGGGCGCAAGCCUGAUGCAGCCAUGCCGCGUGUAUGAAGAAGGCCUUCGGGUUGUAAAGUACUUUCAGCGGGGAGGAAGGCGAUGCGGUUAAUAACCGCGUCGAUUGACGUUACCCGCAGAAGAAGCACCGGCUAACUCCGUGCCAGCAGCCGCGGUAAUACGGAGGGUGCAAGCGUUAAUCGGAAUUACUGGGCGUGAAGCGCACGCAGGCGGUCUGUUAAGUCAGAUGUGAAAUCCCCGGGCUUAACCUGGGAACUGCACUUGAAACUGGCAGGCUUGAGUCUUGUAGAGGGGGGUAGAAUUCCAGGUGUAGCGGUGAAAUGCGUAGAGAUCUGGAGGAAUACCGGUGGCGAAGCGGCUCCUGGACAAGACUGACGCUCAGUGCGAAAGCGUGGGGAGCAAACAGGAUUAGAUACUCUGGUAGUCCACGCC
Molecule: ribosomal RNA, 800 nt
Filed under: unidentified
Description: bacterial SSU rRNA
Rfam family: Bacterial small subunit ribosomal RNA
Source: RNAcentral